Long non-coding RNA from Microplitis mediator, 518 nucleotides. RefSeq lists it as uncharacterized. Lineage: Eukaryota; Metazoa; Arthropoda; Insecta; Hymenoptera; Braconidae. The transcript has 3 exons. The record is from RefSeq and is a predicted model, not a curated record.
AUCGAUAUCGUCAGUAAUAAUCGUGUCUUGUAGCUGAACAACUUUUUCUAGACUGUUAUGAAAAAUUACAAUAUGAAAAUAUUAUGGGCUGCCUCGCUCGCAAUAUGUAUUUCAAUGACAACAGCCGGAACUUUGAAUAAUACAAUGGAACGAUCAUUUGGAAAUUUGUUAAAUUGUACGAGUCGAGGAUGUGUAAUGGAUAAUUUGGAAUUCGAAUUUAAGUUAAUGUCUAAUAUGAAUAUGAGCGUCGAUCCCUGCGAUAAUUUUUAUGAAUUCGCUUGCGGUAAUUUUGAUAACUUUUCCGCUGAUGCACAAUUAGUUCGCCAAUACUUUGAUGUCCCAUCGAGCACCAUGUAUGAUAAAAUUUACGAUUCAAUACAAAAAAGUGAACCAAUAGAUUCACCGAAGCAAUUUCAUUUCCUGAGAGACUACAUGAUUUUUUGUGAAAAAGUGAACUUUAAUGACAACGAUAAGUGUAAUUAUUUAUGUUUCAUUCAAACACGCAGAUAUAUGCAUAA